AACGAACGCUGGCGGCAUGCCUAACACAUGCAAGUCGAACGAAGCCUUCGGGCUUAGUGGCGCACGGGUGCGUAACGCGUGGGAAUCUGCCCUUGGGUUCGGAAUAACAGUUAGAAAUGACUGCUAAUACCGGAUGAUGUCCUCGUACCAAAGAUUUAUCGCCCAAGGAUGAGCCCGCGUAGGAUUAGGUAGUUGGGGGGGUAAUGGCCCACCAAGCCGACGAUCCUUAGCUGGUCUGAGAGGAUGAUCAGCCACACUGGGACUGAGACACGGCCCAGACUCCUACGGGAGGCAGCAGUGGGGAAUAUUGGACAAUGGGCGAAAGCCUGAUCCAGCAAUGCCGCGUGAGUGAUGAAGGCCUUAGGGUUGUAAAGCUCUUUUACCAGGGAUGAUAAUGACAGUACCUGGAGAAUAAGCCCCGGCUAACUCCGUGCCAGCAGCCGCCGUAA
Molecule: ribosomal RNA, 449 nt
Filed under: uncultured bacterium
Lineage: Bacteria
Description: partial 16S ribosomal RNA
Rfam family: Bacterial small subunit ribosomal RNA
Source: RNAcentral